RNAcentral lists this ribosomal RNA (468 nucleotides) under uncultured bacterium. Its description in RNAcentral is "partial 16S ribosomal RNA". It matches the Rfam family "Bacterial small subunit ribosomal RNA", at positions 28 to 507 of the family's 1533-position model. The record is from RNAcentral.
GAUGAACGCUGGCGGCGUGCUUAACACAUGCAAGUCGAGCGGAAAGGCCAGGCUGUUGCUGGGUGCUCGAGUGGCGAGCGGGUGAGUAACACGCGAGUAACCUGUCCCUGACUAUGGGCUAACAUCAGGAAACUGUGGCUCAUAACGGAUAGUAGCUCCUGCUGCAUGGUGGUGGUUGGUAAGUUUCGGUGGUUGGGAAUCGUCUGGCGGCUUAUCAGCUUGUUGAUGGAGUAGUGGAUUACCACGGCUUUGACGGGUAGUCGGCCUGAGAGGGUGACCGGCCACCUGGGCACUGAGAUACGGCACAGACUCCUACGGGAGGCAGCAGUGGGGAAGAUUGCACGAUGGACGGAAGCCGGGUGCAGCAAGGCCGCGUGCGGGAUGACAGCCUUCGGGUAGAAAACCACAUUCGCCUGUGACGAUGCGUGAGUGACGGUAAUGGAUAAAGAAGGACCGGCUAACUACGUG